Molecule: transfer RNA, 88 nt
Filed under: Gammaproteobacteria bacterium
Lineage: Bacteria; Pseudomonadati; Pseudomonadota; Gammaproteobacteria
Description: tRNA-Ser
Rfam family: tRNA
About the family: Transfer RNA (tRNA) molecules are approximately 80 nucleotides in length. Their secondary structure includes four short double-helical elements and three loops (D, anti-codon, and T loops). Further hydrogen bonds mediate the characteristic L-shaped molecular structure. tRNAs have two regions of fundamental functional importance: the anti-codon, which is responsible for specific mRNA codon recognition, and the 3' end, to which the tRNAs corresponding amino acid is attached (by aminoacyl-tRNA synthetases). tRNAs cope with the degeneracy of the genetic code in two manners: having more than one tRNA (with a specific anti-codon) for a particular amino acid; and 'wobble' base-pairing, i.e. permitting non-standard base-pairing at the 3rd anti-codon position.
Source: RNAcentral
GGAGAGAUGGCUGAGUGGUUUAAAGCGCUGGUCUCGAAAAUCAGUUGACGGUAACGUCUCGAGGGUUCAAAUCCCUCUCUCUCCUCCA